This 471-nucleotide ribosomal RNA is filed under the name Streptococcus sp. 187/05. RNAcentral's name for it is "bacterial SSU rRNA". It matches the Rfam family "Bacterial small subunit ribosomal RNA", at positions 35 to 488 of the family's 1533-position model. Lineage: Bacteria; Bacillati; Bacillota; Bacilli; Lactobacillales; Streptococcaceae. The record is from RNAcentral.
GCUGGCGGCGUGCCUAAUACAUGCAAGUAGAACGCUGAAGCUUGGUGCUUGCACCNAGCGGAUGAGUUGCGAACGGGUGAGUAACGCGUAUGUAACCUGCCUUUUAGCGGGGGAUAACUAUUGGAAACGAUAGCUAAUACCNCAUAAAAGUCGAUAUCGCAUGAUAUUGACUUGAAAGGUGCANUUGCAUCACUAAGAGAUGGACCUGCNUNGUAUUAGCUAGUUGGNGAGGUAACGGCUCACCAAGGCAACGAUACAUAGCCGACCUGAGAGGGUGAUCGGCCACACUGGGACUGAGACACGGCCCAGACUCCUACCAGAGGCAGCAGUNGGGAAUCUUCGGCAGUGGGNGCAACCCUGACCGACCAACGCCGCGUGAGUGAAGAAGGUUUUCGGAUCGUAUAGCUCUGUUGUAAGAGAAGAACGAGUGUGAGAGUGGAAAGUUCACACUGUGACGGUAACUUAACCAGA